CAGCGCGGACGUGUUUUUUUGCUCCGUCUCCGUUAAAUUGUGGAUUUUCAACACAUUUCGCGUGCGCCUUAAAUAUAAAAUAAAUCUAAUGUUAAUUUAACAACAUUAAACCAAAAGUGCACAGAGGCUUACCUGAAAAUCACGUAAAAAGUGCCGCGUGUUAUGUGAAUGCCAAAAAGGGGAGCUCUCUUGCUCUUCGGAUUUGGCUCUCUUGGGGGAGGAUUGUCAGCAAAGCUCCGCUUUUGCCGCCUUGCCCCCGGCCUCACGUUCCACGUUCCACCUUGCCCCCCCCUCCCUGUUUCACCCAUAGCUCUCUCUCGCACAGUAACCCUCACGUUUACGGGACAGGAAUUUUAAUCAAGCCACAGAAUGCAGUCAAUGGGCGCUGGACGCUUGGCCAAAACAACGCCGUACUAAUUGUGGCCCCGGACCACGUCCAGGAAUCGUUCUUUGGACAAGGACCAGGACCAUGGCGUCAUUUGUAUGCAUCCGGAGAACACAAACAACAACAACAACACAACCAGCAACCUCAUCACUAGAAGCGGAAUUUUCGAGCAGCGGCUAAACGGAAACCCGAAGCCGCAGAAAAUCCCUCAGAAAAAAAAGGGAGGCAAAUUGGAGGAGGAGUAGAACUAACCAGAAAACCAGUCAGCCAGGCAUCCAAAAAUUGGAGAGCCACUGAAAUAGUGCACCCGAAAAUCAAAGAGGCAGCUACAAAGGAGCCAGGAUGAUGAGUGCCGGCGGAACCUACAUUUCCACGGCCAGUGUGGAGGUGCCACAAGCGUUGCAAGAUGGAGAGAAGUUUAUUCGAUGGGACGAUGUGAGUAGAAUGUUAA
This 836-nucleotide unclassified non-coding RNA is filed under the name Drosophila ananassae. RNAcentral's name for it is "GF26980". Lineage: Eukaryota; Metazoa; Arthropoda; Insecta; Diptera; Drosophilidae. The record is from RNAcentral.